GGAUGCAUAGUUUAUGUAUAUGAGAAUCGUACUUUUGUAAUGUAUGGGAGCUUUUAGCUGUGUCCU
This 66-nucleotide transfer RNA is filed under the name Clinostomum complanatum. RNAcentral describes it as "tRNA-Thr". The record is from RNAcentral. Lineage: Eukaryota; Metazoa; Platyhelminthes; Trematoda; Strigeidida; Clinostomidae.